Molecule: small nucleolar RNA, 107 nt
Organism: Humulus lupulus (European hop)
Lineage: Eukaryota; Viridiplantae; Streptophyta; Magnoliopsida; Rosales; Cannabaceae
Source: RefSeq, a predicted model, not a curated record
AUCUCGUGAUGAGGUCAAUUCCUUCUGAGCUCUUUAAAUCUCUCCCAUGAAGCAUACAACAAUUCCCCUUCCAUCUGGUAAAAAUGAUUAAUUUCCCCUCUCAAAUU